Molecule: long non-coding RNA, 325 nt
Filed under: Mytilus galloprovincialis (Mediterranean mussel)
Lineage: Eukaryota; Metazoa; Mollusca; Bivalvia; Mytilida; Mytilidae
Source: RNAcentral
GUCUGAAAUGUGCACAUAAAGCAUUCACUGCCAUUCGUAUAAACAUAACAGUUUGUCUUGAUUCUAAUUAGUCUAUAAGACUAAAUCAUUUAAUUCACAAUUCUUAUACAGGGAAACAUAUUUCGUUGAACCAGUACUGAAUAUAAAAACAAGAUGUGAUGUGAUUACCUCUGAAACAACUCUUCAAAAGACUCCAAAUGAUACAGAAAUUAACAGCAACAGGUCACCGCACGAUUUAAUAAUGUUGAGCGAUUGGUUGCAAAACUUAUAUUGAUAUAUUGCACGAAUUAUUCGGCAAAUGAAAUUCUUAUAAUUAGUAUUCAGC